CGGGGAACGGCUUCAAUUUCUGUCCAAUCAGAGCGGGCUGAGGAUCGCCACGCCUACAGCCCGCCCCGUAUCGACCAGUGCGCUUUCCUAUUGGCUCCUAGACCAUUAGUCGGUAUCAAAGUUCACGGAUGGCCCUGGCGCUGUAAAUCAGCCGCGGCAACGUGGAGAUCACCGAUCUGUUCAUUUUCAAUUCAUGAACCUGACACGAUAUCGACGCGUGGGUACGAAAACGAUACUGACGAUUUAAUAUCCGUAACUAAUAAUUUUCGAAGACUGGAGACACAGUUCCUGGAAAAAAAAAUACUAAUUUGUAGAAGGAGUAAUCAGGAAAGGCCUGGGGACAAUUUCUCGAUUCGACCUGCUAUGUGAUCCAACUUUUCUCCAUCGUUCGUGCAGGUGUCUGAAACUCUCUAGUUUUGCCUUUUUCCGAGUGGGGGUGUGGAGAAGACGGGCUGCUUCAGGAACGAUCGAAUCUUUCCAAUAAAUGGAAUGGAAGUUUGCUGAAAUUUUCUCCAAAGUGGGCUGAGACAUAAUUAUUUUUAAAUCAGAAUAUUGUUUUGCAUGUUCCUCUUCAUUGCAAUCAACGACCGAUCUAUGUGUGCAGUUGAUGUUUGCGGUUGAAAGAAAUUUAAAACUUCCAAGGCAGAAAUGUCAUUGUACUGAUUCUCUGGAGGUGAAAGGACGGCGCGUGAAUUCGCCGCGAUGUGUAAUUGCACCAAGAAUUGCCGAGGGGCUUGGGAGUACGACGACCCUGAUUAUUAACAACACCCCGCAUCUCAAACCACAGGAUCAGAUCAAAAGUGAUCCGAACACCGGCGUCUUACAGAACUAUAAUUUUAAUGUCAGGUCUUCCUGUCACGCAGCCUUUUGGGAUAAACAUUCAUUGCUUGCCACAUUUCCAAUCUUAACCAUUUAGUAUUUGUGUUAAAACUUCGCCAUUUACCGUUUGUAUUAAAGCGGCGGCACAAUGACGUGUUACAAUUGCAUGGUUACGUCUGUGAGUAGGGUGUGUAGUUUGUUCAUGUUUGUGUACCUGCUUUUUUAAUCUUUGUAAUACUGUGCACGCUUGAUAGGAUGUAAAAUCAACAGAUUCAAUCUACUCCCUCACAAGUGUUCAAAGAAGUGUUACAUUAAUGUACUUUCCCCGUACACGUUACAGAAGGAAGUCACCGUUACUUCGAAGAGUUCUGUUAUGUUCCGAUAAAGUAACAGAUGACCGGACAUGCGAUAGUAUUAAAUUACAACAGAGGCCAAUUUACCCCCGUAUUUUAUUUAGAAGUGGAAAUCAGUUUGAAACAAAAAUGGAUUACAGUAAUUUCUUUUUUUGGCGUCAAUUGGCACUUGGGAAUAUUUUUGAUGGGACGAUGGGCAACUUGAAAAAAAAAAAUUCCAAACCUUUGCGCUAUGGAUUAACCGGCAGCCAUAUUGUGGUCCUGAUGUUAAAAUAAGUGCAUGAAUUAUGAACGUAUUGUAUUGCCAGUAUCGAUCUCGAGGUAUAAUAAAAUCUUAACAGUUUCCCUCUUUAAA
Long non-coding RNA from Hypanus sabinus (Atlantic stingray), 1527 nucleotides. RefSeq lists it as uncharacterized. The transcript is spliced from 2 exons. Lineage: Eukaryota; Metazoa; Chordata; Chondrichthyes; Myliobatiformes; Dasyatidae. The record is from RefSeq and is a predicted model, not a curated record.